AUGCCUUGGCAUGAGGGUGCCGGUCCCAACAUUUUGGUCAGGCGAAUACUAGAAAAACUCGCAGGUUCGGCCCUGGAGGUUCUCAGGCUCGACUCCGAGAGCUGCUCGCUUUCCGAGGAGUCCCUGGCGAGGAUUGUGCUCGGAGAGGACCCACACGACGCUCCGCUUGCCGUCGUGGUGCACCCCUUUUGA
This 192-nucleotide ribosomal RNA is filed under the name Triticum aestivum (bread wheat). RNAcentral's name for it is "partial small subunit ribosomal RNA". Lineage: Eukaryota; Viridiplantae; Streptophyta; Magnoliopsida; Poales; Poaceae. The record is from RNAcentral.